UGAAGCUGGAGUUACUAGUAAUCGCAGAUCAGAAUGCUGCGGUGAAUGCGUUCCCGGGUCUUGUACACACCGCCCGUCACACCACGGGAGUUGGAGACGCCCGAAGCCGAUUAUCUAACCUUUUGGAAGAAGUCGUCGAAGGUGGAAUCAAUAACUGGGGUGAAGUCGUAACAAGGUAGCCGUAUCGGAAGGUGCGGCUGGAUCACCUCCUUUCUAAGGAGA
RNAcentral lists this ribosomal RNA (222 nucleotides) under Clostridioides difficile. RNAcentral's name for it is "partial 16S ribosomal RNA". It matches the Rfam family "Bacterial small subunit ribosomal RNA", at positions 1321 to 1533 of the family's 1533-position model. The record is from RNAcentral. Lineage: Bacteria; Bacillati; Bacillota; Clostridia; Peptostreptococcales; Peptostreptococcaceae.